RNAcentral lists this ribosomal RNA (484 nucleotides) under uncultured bacterium. Its description in RNAcentral is "partial 16S ribosomal RNA". It matches the Rfam family "Bacterial small subunit ribosomal RNA", at positions 30 to 507 of the family's 1533-position model. The record is from RNAcentral.
AUUGAACGCUGGCGGCAGGCCUAACACAUGCAAGUCGAGCGGAUGAAGGGAGCUUGCUCCUGGAUUCAGCGGCGGACGGGUGAGUAAUGCCUAGGAAUCUGCCUGGUAGUGGGGGAUAACGUCCGGAAACGGGCGCUAAUACCGCAUACGUCCUGAGGGAGAAAGUGGGGGAUCUUCGGACAUCACGCUAUCAGAUGAGCCUAGGUCAGAUUAGCUAGUUGGUGGGGUAAAGGCCUACCAAGGCGACGAUCCGUAACUGGUCUGAGAGGAUGAUCAGUCACACUGGAACUGAGACACGGUCCAGACUCCUACGGGAGGCAGCAGUGGGGAAUAUUGGACAAUGGGCGAAAGCCUGAUCCAGCCAUGCCGCGUGUGUGAAGAAGGUCUUCGGAUUGUAAAGCACUUUAAGUUGGGAGGAAGGGCAGUAAGUUAAUACCUUGCUGUUUUGACGUUACCAACAGAAUAAGCCCCGGCUAACUUCGUG